UAAAGUCUACAGGACAACUGAUCUAGUACAAUUAUAUAGACAAGAUGAUACCAUGUAUUCAUUUAAACAUUUGUUUUCUUUACUUAAGUGGUGAUAUCUGUAUUGGUGGCAUCAUUUUUCCCCUUAUAGACUCUAUCUGUCAUAAUCCUGUUUCAUUGCUUUACUUAGAAGCAAUUAGUUUCAUGUUAUAUAUCUUUAAAAUAUUCCCAAUUAGCCUCAUGUUACAGGCAAACUGCCAGGCAUAAGGCAAAACAAAACUAGAAAUGCUGUGUGAUCUUUCUGUUUUGAGAUGUUCACCAAUUGACCUUCUAUUUCAAAUAUUUGUGUUCGUGUGUGUGGUGUGUGUGUGUGUAUGUACCUUUUUAGAUUCAUUUGACUUAAUGUGAGGCUUGUUAGUGUCUUGUUACGCUUGUUGGAACUAAAGUCAAACCACUUUAAUUCUUAUGGAAACUAGAGGGAACGAGUAAAUAGAAUCUUGACGCUUGUGUCAUCUUGACCUGGUGCAACACAGGGAGCUCAAGAGCCAGGAAGAUGGACUGUAUAUUGUAGACAUAAGGUCAAGUGUCUGUCCUCCAAAGCUUCCUGUCUAUUCACUAUUCUGGGACAUUUCUAGACUAUGCAAUAUUGUCAAAAUCCUUGCCUAUUGGUAUUUACAUCCUUAAAUGACGUUAAGAGUUAAGAAAGGAAGGAAGGAAAGAAGAAGGAAGAAAGGAAAGAAGACAGAAGGAAGAAAGGAAGGAAGGGGCCAGUUAGUAAAUAAUUACUACACAACUCUGGAAAGGAGCCAUGUUAUUGGAUUAGUGAACAGUAGUGGACAGUAUGUGAUAUCAUGGUUAAGGGAUGGAUCCUCCAAAAGUAAAAGAGCCUGUGUGGGACAAAAACCUAAAAAUGACCCUGAAGGCAGUUCUACUGUCUCAAAAAACGAAGACUUUCAGGUCAUUCUUCAACAUUCACUGAAGACAUCAGCAUCAGCACCACUUCAGUAAGCCCUGCUGGAACCCCGAGGGGCUCCAACAUCCAUGUGUAACAACGGUAGAGGAAAAUGAUGGACAGCACAGCUUCUGAACCGGACACACUUCAGGCAUUAUCUCCUAAGGACCCUCUAUUAAAUGAGUUUUUAGAAAUGUAAAAGACAUAAAAGACAUGUACCAAGGUGGACUGGCUAUGAGGUUGUGGGUACAAGCAGAAGUCACUCUUCUAGGAAAGCCAGC
This 1211-nucleotide long non-coding RNA is filed under the name Equus asinus (donkey). RNAcentral's name for it is "lncRNA (ENSEASG00005034392.1)". Lineage: Eukaryota; Metazoa; Chordata; Mammalia; Perissodactyla; Equidae. The record is from RNAcentral.